Molecule: unclassified non-coding RNA, 140 nt
Filed under: uncultured Ascomycota
Lineage: Eukaryota; Fungi; Ascomycota
Description: sequence contains ITS1
Source: RNAcentral
CCGAGAGUUGUAGGCUUCUGUCUACCAUCUCUUACCCAUGUCUUUUGCGUACUAUACGUUUCCUCGGCAGGUCCGCCUGCCGCUAGGACAAACAUAAACCAUUUGCAGUUGCAGUCAGCGUCUGAAAAAUUUAAUAAUUA